CCCACCUCGGCCUCCCAAAGUGCUGGAAUUACAGACAAAAAAAAAGUGAACAAGAAUUAAAAGAUGAAGAAAUGGAUUUAUUUACAAAAUAUUACUCCGAAUGGAAAGGAGGUAGAAAAAACACAAAUGAAUUCUAUAAGACCAUUCCCCGGUUUUAUUAUAGGCUGCCUGCUGAAGAUGAAGUCUUACUACAGAAAUUAAGAGAGGAAUCAAGAGCUGUCUUUCUACAAAGAAAAAGCAGAGAACUGUUAGAUAAUGAAGAAUUACAGAACUUAUGGUUUUUGCUGGACAAACACCAGACACCACCUAUGAUUGGAGAGGAAGCGAUGAUCAAUUACGAAAACUUUUUGAAGGCAAUUUUUCACAGCAAAAGUCUUUGCUAAACUCCUUCAUACAGAUUCAUAUGGAAGAAUUUCCAUCAUGCAGUUCUUUAAUUAUGUCAUGAGAAAAGUUUGGCUUCAUCAAACAAGAAUAGGACUCAGUUUAUAUGAUGUCGCUGGGCAGGGGUACCUUCGGGAAUCUGAUUUAGAAAACUACAUAUUGGAACUUAUCCCUACGUUGCCACAAUUAGAUGGUCUGGAAAAAUCUUUCUACUCCUUUUAUGUUUGUACAGCAGUUAGGAAGUUCUUCUUCUU
RNAcentral lists this long non-coding RNA (635 nucleotides) under Homo sapiens (human). RNAcentral describes it as "HSALNT0209438". Lineage: Eukaryota; Metazoa; Chordata; Mammalia; Primates; Hominidae. The record is from RNAcentral.